GGUGUAAUAUUAAAAUCUUUUCAGUAGAUAUAGGAUAUAGUGUUAUUUGAUGAAAUGUUAUUUCAAUAAUAUUGCUAAAAUACCGACCGUCCCUAGCGCAAGUGGGAAAAGGGCUUGGUAGUUGGUACGCGAGACUCAAGUUCGAAUCCUAGUUAAUUCAUUUUUCCAGCUAAGUUUAUUUCUAAAUGAAAUAAACGAAACGGGUAGCAUGCUACCUUUUCUCAAUAAUAAUAAUAAUAAUAAUGUUGCUAAAAGAAGCAUU
Molecule: long non-coding RNA, 262 nt
Filed under: Ananas comosus (pineapple)
Lineage: Eukaryota; Viridiplantae; Streptophyta; Magnoliopsida; Poales; Bromeliaceae
Description: long non-coding RNA (ACOM_LNC000449)
Source: RNAcentral